This 449-nucleotide ribosomal RNA is filed under the name uncultured bacterium. RNAcentral describes it as "bacterial SSU rRNA". It matches the Rfam family "Bacterial small subunit ribosomal RNA", at positions 354 to 796 of the family's 1533-position model. The record is from RNAcentral.
GUCUAGAAAAUUGGGCAAUGGGCGCAAGCCUGACCCAGCGACACCGCGUGGAGGAUGAAGUCUUUCGGGAUGUAAACUCCUGUCAGGCGGAGCGAUGCUCCGCGCUCUAACUAAGCGCGGAGUGACGGUACUGCCAAAGGAAGCCCCGGCUAACUACGUGCCAGCAGCCGCGGUAAUACGUAGGGGGCAAGCGUUGUCCGGAAUCACUGGGCGUAAAGGGUGUGUAGGCGGUUGAGUAAGUCAGUGGUGAAAGCUCCGGGCUCAACCCGGAAACCGCUUCUGAUACUACUUGGCUUGAGGGCAGAAGAGGAGGUUGGAACUUUCGGUGUAGCGGUAGAAUGCGUAGAUAUCGAAAGGAACGCCGAUAGCGAAGGCAGACCUCUGGGAUGCACCUGACGCUGAAACACGAAAGCUGGGGGAGCAAACAGGAUUAGAAACCCCAGUAGUCC